AGGGUUUGAUUAUGGCUCAGGAUGAACGCUAGCGACAGGCCUAACACAUGCAAGUCGAGGGGUACCAUGGGAUCAGCUUGCUGAUUCUGAUGGCGACCGGCGCACGGGUGAGUAACGCGUAUGCAACCUGCCCGUAACAGAGGGAUAACCCGGAGAAAUCCGGCCUAAUACCACAUGAAAGAUUAUGUCCGCAUGGAUUUAAUCUUAAAGACUAACGGUUACGGAUGGGCAUGCGUUCCAUUAGCUUGUUGGUGAGGUAACGGCUCACCAAGGCGACGAUGGAUCGGGGUUCUGAGAGGAAGGUCCCCCACACUGGUACUGAGACACGGACCAG
This 334-nucleotide ribosomal RNA is filed under the name uncultured bacterium. Its description in RNAcentral is "bacterial SSU rRNA". It matches the Rfam family "Bacterial small subunit ribosomal RNA", at positions 8 to 334 of the family's 1533-position model. The record is from RNAcentral.